Molecule: non-coding RNA, 136 nt
Organism: Hydra vulgaris (swiftwater hydra)
Lineage: Eukaryota; Metazoa; Cnidaria; Hydrozoa; Anthoathecata; Hydridae
Source: RefSeq, a predicted model, not a curated record
AAAGAAGUAGAAAGCAAAGAACUGAAAUUGGCUCAACUAGAAGAAAGAAAGAAAUUAAUGAAAGCUAGAAAAGACUUAGGUAUUCAUUAUUUUAAGUAGCUAAAAUAUUUUUAUAUCUGUAAACGUUUAUUUAAUG